GAUUAAGGGCUUGAAAGAGGAAUGUUGACUCCUUUUUACCCUUCCAUCUUUUGCCUUGUAGGCUGCAGCAAGAAGGUCCUCACCAGACGUCAGUGACUAGCUCUUGGACUGCCCAGCCUCCCGAACAGUGAGAGAGUAAAUUUCUGUUCUUUAUAAAUUCCCAGUCUGUGGUAUUUUGUUGUAGCAACACAAAUGGACUAAGUUCCUCAUACCCUGAGUUAUUUCUUACUGUGCUUGGAGAUCGGUCCUGGCUGCCGCUGGCCUGUUAUUUGGCAGCCCAUGCACUUUUCCAUCACAAAACCGGAGUGGAUUCCUGUCCGUUUCAACAACUUGUGAUGACACUGGAUAUUAUCAUGCCAGCUCUGCUUGUGAGUCUGUCUGAAAAUGAGCCAACUUUCGAACCCUGUGCGGUAAGGAAUGGUUCUUUCUUCAUGCCAGAGCAUUAAAGUGAAAACCUAACAAAGAGCUAAAAUAAAAGUUUGUAGCUUCAGAAGAAGUCAUAUUAAUUUUGGAAAAAAGGUAUGCACUUAAAAAUCACAGCAGUCACAUUCUUCUUUGAAAAAGUCAUUUUUUAAUUUAACAUAUAAGACAGGAUGCUCAUUUACCUUGACGUAAAAUACACAGCUGAUGCACCAGAUAAGAUAGAAUUAUACAAAAAUACCAACGCUAUGACCUUAAAUCAGUGUACAGGAUAUGCCAUACAUAGGACAUUCAAUGCGAUUUUUUACUCGCUCAGCUAUUUCUAAUUAUAUCAGAUUAAAUGACUGUUACCUGAUUUCUUUAAAAAAUGGGUUUAAAGAAAGCAUAUAAUAAAUUACUAAAGUCAACAAAGGUUAUACUUCUUUGUUCUUGAAUGCAAUCAAAAUAUUUUCUUCUAAUGAGUUUAUCCAAUAAAAGUCUUGUAGAAAUGCACAUUCCCUUAAGUUAUUCAUUUUAGUGAGUUUAUUCCAAGGCAAAUAACAAAUGAGCAUUGAAAUGUAACUUUAUGUUAGAUCAGGCAGAACAGUUUAUUGGAGUGAUGGGUGUUUCAGGGCAGUAGUUCUUGUAUGAAGUAUUUUUCUUGCUAACAAAAUGAAUACAAUUCUUUACACUGUCCAUUAACAAUUUUACAGUCUCACAGUAGUAAUACACAGUUUACCAUUCUCCUUACAGGCCAAUGUUUCCUAAUAAGGAAUGCAGAGCAUCUCUUGCAUCUUGAGUAACAGCAGGUGGUAUCAGAAAUAAAACAGUGAAUGUUGAGUUCUCCUAUGUAAAAUGGCUCUAGAGUGAAGAAGGUCUGAGAUGGAGGUGCAUUAAGUGAUUGGACCCAAAGUGUGUUAAAUUCCAGGAAAUUAGCCUUCAUUAAUCUACAGAUAAGAAUGUACUUUUGCUCUUAUUUAAUCAAUAAUUUACUUAUUCAAAAUACAUUUGUUAGUAUUGUGGGCAGGGUAUACUGGGUCUGAGUGCACUCAAAAUGAUGUGAGGAGUAAGGAUGUAGUCAUAAAAGAGAAAUAGAUUCAUUAUCUCCCACUCCCUCAUCCCUAGUUUUUCCCUGUCUCUCAAAGUGCAAAACGCUGCAGCAGCAUGACAGAAAGAUUGUCACUUGGCAUGAGACCUAAGUGUUGUGGCCUCCUUCUGCUCAGCUACUCUGUGGAGGAAAGGGACAAUUAUGUUGGCUCACUGCUUCCCACUAAUCUCUCUCCACCUCUUAAAAAACAACAGUGAGGACAAAUAAUGCAAUGGAGGGAUUUUUCAAGAGCACAACUGGCUUUCACUGUGGUGUCAUUUGGAAGAUUUAUUUUCACCAAAAAUUUGUCCCCAAUCUAAAGGCAUAGAUCAAACUGAAAUAAAACCAUUAAACAUUGGAUCUCAGUCGAUUGCAAAAGAGUUCCUACAAUUCCAUGCUUUGUCUUUUUUCAUAAAGAUAUGACCUGAAAUAUGUAAAAGCCAAAUGUAAUCGUAGUUAUGAAUGUCUCUUGUCCCUAGUUUAUUGCCAAGAUUUCCAUGGUGUGUCAGAUAAUUAAAGGAUCUCUGAGUGUCUGCUCCCCAACAAAGACAACAUGCCACCACCUGAGGCCCUGCUAUGGGCACAAGGCAGAGAAUGGCCUUGCUGAGGAAGCCCCAGAUCAAAACAAAACGUCCCCAGUGUGCAGCUGAGAAGAGAAACCAACCGGAAGGCAGAAGGAAGAGAGAUCCUGCAAAAUGUCUCUAGCUCCUACUGCCAAGUCUUAUGGCACUGAAAUUCUGCAGCCUGUGGGAGGAGGAAAAUGCUAGGAAGUCUUGUAUAAAGUUUUAAAUUCAGUAGCUACUGGGGAAAGCUUUUGCUAUAAGUAAAGUAGAGAAAGGAAAAAACUGAUCUCAAAGCAAGGAGUCCAAAGUUAGGAGUCAUGAGUCGUCCUUGCAUAUAUAUUGGUAUGGUAAAAGUUCAACAAGAAGCAUUCCUGGGUGCCUGAUGUAAGGUGUGGAUCUUGGGGCAUAAGAACAGUAGUGGAUUCAAGGUUUAAGCUUAGGCCCUUUAUAAUGGGAAAAGAAUCCAUUCCCAUUAAUUAGGAACUGGACUUCCCAGGUGCCAGAUGUUGUAGGGGACAACAGGGCUGGGGCUUAAGAGACUCCAGAUGCUACUUCACAUUUUCCUUAAGGUUAAUGAUUAAAGGCUGUUACUUGAAUUUCUAAAUUUAAGAUUAGAUUUUAACGUGAGGAUCAAAGGUGCUGAUUUGUUUAUCAGAUUACAAUGUUACAGUUUAACCCUAUUUUUCUUAUUCUACCUAAGAUUGUUGUACAACAGUGCUUCCGUUUAGAAACAGCAGUAUCUAGCCUUUUGUAAUGUGCCUUGGGUUUCCUUUCACUGCAGUUAACAGAAUUAACACCUGGUGGUGGUUUCAGAAUUUCUGGGUGAGAGUGGUUGAGAAUUAGCAGUCUGAUUGGAAGCCCGGAGGACCCACCUUAAAGCUGUUUGCAUUUAAAAGCCUGCUGUUUAUAAUUAAACUGUACAUACUGGUUAUAAAAUACAGCACCCACUUGAGGACUUUUAAGGCCCUACUUUUCAUUUUUGAGAUGAUUUCCAUGGGUGAGGUUGGCGAUCACAGGGUGUUUGGAGGGCCAUUGAAGCACUAAAUCCUGCUAGCUUCCCAGGCACAGUUGCUGACAGUGUCCCGUAACAGUUUGUAAAUGUCUUAAAGAUGCUCCAGCUUGGAAGUAUGGUCUGCUCUGUCCCUCCUCCAUUAUACUAUGUGAACCCUGUAUCGCACCGCUGCAGAAGCAAACGCUGAAAUCCUGUAGAAAUGAUUGAGUUACUGAGGCUGGUACUCUGAGCAAAUGCUUUAACAGAUUUUUCUCCAGUAGUCUUGAAAGUCUCCCCUGGGGGAGAAAACUGGCAAAGGGGGCCUGAGAGAUGUUGGA
This 3378-nucleotide long non-coding RNA is filed under the name Callithrix jacchus (white-tufted-ear marmoset). RNAcentral describes it as "lncRNA (ENSCJAG00000071770.1)". The record is from RNAcentral. Lineage: Eukaryota; Metazoa; Chordata; Mammalia; Primates; Cebidae.